Molecule: ribosomal RNA, 422 nt
Filed under: uncultured bacterium
Lineage: Bacteria
Description: bacterial SSU rRNA
Rfam family: Bacterial small subunit ribosomal RNA
Source: RNAcentral
UUUUGGGCAAUGGGCGAAAGCCUGACCCAGCAACGCCGCGUGUGGGAUGAAGGCCCUCGGGUCGUAAACCACUGUCAGGAGGAAAGAAAAGCCGGCCGGAUAAUACUCGGUCGGCCUGACGGUACCUCCAAAGGAAGCACCGGCUAACUCCGUGCCAGCAGCCGCGGUAAUACGGAGGGUGCAAGCGUUGUUCGGAAUUACUGGGCGUAAAGCGCGUGUAGGUGGUUCGGUAAGUCGAAUGUGAAAGCCCCGGGCUCAACCCGGGAAGUGCAUCCGAAACUGCCGAACUAGAGUCCCGGAGAGGAAGGCAGAAUUCCCAAUGUAGGGGUGAAAUCCGUAGAUAUUGGGAGGAAUACCGGUGGCGAAGGCGGCCUUCUGGACGGUGACUGACACUCAGACGCGAAAGCGUGGGGAGCAAACAG